Molecule: ribosomal RNA, 114 nt
Filed under: uncultured bacterium
Lineage: Bacteria
Description: partial 16S ribosomal RNA
Rfam family: Bacterial small subunit ribosomal RNA
Source: RNAcentral
CGGUGAAUACGUUCCCGGGCCUUGUACACACCGCCCGUCAAGCCAUGGAAGCUGGGGGUGCCUGAAGUGCGUAACCGCAAGGAGCGUCCUAGGGUAAAACCGGUAACUGGGGCU